CACGAAGUUAGCCGGGGCUUCUUCUGUGGGUACCGUCAUUAUCGUCCCCACUGAAAGAGCUUUGCAACCCUAGGGCCUUCAUCACUCACGCGGCAUGGCUGGAUCAGGCUUGCGCCCAUUGUCCAAUAUUCCCCACUGCUGCCUCCCGUAGGAGUUUGGGCCGUGUCUCAGUCCCAAUGUGGCUGAUCAUCCUCUUAGACCAGCUACCGAUCGUCGCCUUGGUAGGCCAUUACCCCACCAACUAGCUAAUCGGACGCGGGCUCAUCCUGAACCGAUAAAUCUUUGCCCCUCAGGGCACAUGCGGUAUUAAUUCCAGUUUCCCGGAGCUAUUCCGCAGAUCAGGGUAGAUUCCCACGCGUUUACUCACCCGUCUGCCGCUCCCCUUGCGGGGCGCUCGACUUGCAUGUGUUAAGCCUGCCGCCAGCGUUCGUUCUGAGCCAGGAUCAAACUCU
Molecule: ribosomal RNA, 452 nt
Filed under: uncultured Aurantimonas sp.
Lineage: Bacteria; Pseudomonadati; Pseudomonadota; Alphaproteobacteria; Hyphomicrobiales; Aurantimonadaceae
Description: partial 16S ribosomal RNA
Source: RNAcentral